UUGAUUUUGUCCAAUCACAGGUCAGGAGCAAUGGGUGAAGCAGCUGAAGUGGGUGGGGCUCCAGGGCUUCAACCAAAUGAAAUGGACUGCCCUCGAUGACCCCGCCUUCCCGGGUGUGACCGGCGCCUUCUACAAGACCUACAAGAACUUCUCCUUCUACUGGAUCCUCAAGGCUGGUCACAUGAUCCCUUCAGACCAGGGACCCAUGGCACUGCAGAUGCUGAAAAUGAUCACACAACAGGACUGACACACACACACACACACUUGCACU
Salvelinus sp. IW2-2015 is the source of this 271-nucleotide non-coding RNA. The record is from RefSeq and is a predicted model, not a curated record. NCBI's taxonomy places the organism in Eukaryota, Metazoa, Chordata, Actinopteri, Salmoniformes, Salmonidae.